AUAUAUAUAUAUAUAUAUAUAUAUAUAUAUAUAUAUAUAUAUAUAUAUAUAUGCAUUUUUUUGGCCAUUUUUUAAAUUUUUAUUUUUGAAGAUAUAUUUAAAAAAUAUCGAUAUAUUUUUAAAGCACUUUUUGCCCUCCAUAUAUUUCAAUUCAAUUCAAUUCACAUAUGCCAUGUUUAACGAAAAACAUAUAACACCUAUGAAUACAUGAUACAUUUGAAUAAAAAUAAAUAAUGAAUAAAUACAUUUUGAAAUAUUUUGGGAUAUGAAGGUUGAAAGUAGAUAUAUUUUAAAUUUCUAAAAUAUAUUUCAUAGAGCUUCACUGUUUACAGCAUAUAUUUAAAAUAUAUUUUAGCCAGAAAAAAAUAUAUAUAUUUUUGCCGUAUAAGACUGAACCGAAUGCAGUGACAAAACUGUUUUCAUAUAAAGCAACAGAAGCAUCUUCAUAAUCAUCAUUUUUAUAUGCGUAUAAUGUUUUAUAGUUAUCCAGCAUAAAUUCUACAUUAUAUUGGCCGAACGUGUGGUUAUUUACUUUGACAGUGAUUUGCUAAAAUGGUUUCCACAUGCUAAUUUGUUUUUGCAUGACCAAGCAGAUCAACAAAAAAAUUGAUUGGCUGAGAUGAUUAACAAGCGAUGUGAUUGGCCGAGACAGUUCUGGCCUGGUCGUAUUACUGAGGAUCCAUUUGCAAAACACUAAACGUCUACAAAGUUUCUCUGAACCCGUGUGUCAGUUUGAUUACGCUCAGUUGUCUGUUUAUCACUGACGGUAAUGUUGUUGAGUCAUUUUAUUUUCAGUGUACAAUGCAUAUACUGUAUAAACAUCUUAAAUCGUCAUGUUUUUGCAAAAAAGCAAACGAAUGUUAAAAGCUUUUAACACCCAAGAACAGUCUGACCAUCAUAAUGACAUUUAAUAUUUACCAAACAUAAUAACAUUUACCAAAGAGCAUCACACGCAAAAGUCUGUCAGGAUUAUGAUUAAUUUUUCUGAUGCAAGGAGUUUUUUUUUUUUUUAUGUAAAAUUGUUUUAAAAGUAUGCAAAACACUAUAAAAGUGUUUAUAUUUAAACUUAAUUGUGAUAUUAUUGCUCACACUAAUAUCAUCGUGCCAGAUUGUGUUGCUACAAUGCAAUGUUUUGAUAUUUUGGGAUAUGUAUGUAUUAUAUAUAAAGUUUGGGGUCAGAAAUUAAUACUUUUAUUCAUCAAGGAUAAAUUAAAUUGAUCAAAAGUGACAGUAAAGACAUUUAUAAUGUUACAAAAGAGUUCCAUUUCAAAUAAAUAUUGUUCUUUUGAACUUUCUAAUUAUUUGUGAAUCCUAAAAAAUAAAAUGCAUCACAGUUUCCACAAAAAUAUUGUGCUGCACAACUGUUUUCAACAUUGAUAAUAAUCAAAAUUUGUUUCUUGAGCAGCAAAUCAGCAUAUUAGAAUGAUUUCUGAAGAUCAUGUGACACUGAAGACUGGAGUAAUGAUGCUGAAAAUUCAGCAGCGCAUCACAGGAAUAAAUUACAUUUUAAUAGAUAUUAAUAUAGAAAACUGUUUUAAAUAGUAAUAAUAUUUCACAAUUUUUACAGUAUUUGCUGUAUAUUUGAUCAAAUAAAUGCAGCCCACAAUCUUAAAAAUAAAGGUGCUUCACGAUGCCGUAGAAGAAUUUUUUUUUUGUCCAAAUAGUUACAUAAAGAACUUUUAACAUCAGAAGAACCUUUCUGUUUCACAAAAGAUUCUUCAGAUUAUAAAAAGGUAAGAAAGAGAUGGUUCUUUAAAGAACUUUUGACUUAAUGGUUCUUUGUGGAACCAAAAAUGGUUCUUCUAUUGCAUCGCUGUGAAGAACCUUUUAAGCACCUUUAUUUUUAAGAAUGCAUGAGAAGUAACUGGAUAAAAACAACCUACUGUAUAGACAUUUUCUGCAUUUUAUUAAUUUUUUUUCAUCGAUGUGUUCAUGUUUUAGACACUUCAGCUGUUGGGAAUCUUUUCUUCUCUCUUUCAUUACCGUACAGACAUCAUCUGUGUAUAAUUUCCCUCAGUGAUAUUGAGCUCUUCUCCCCCAGAGAACGGUUCUGGGCUCUUUUUGAAUGUCGAAUGCAGUUCUUUUGAUAACACCGACUUCUUUUGAUUGUAUCUGUCUUUGUUUCCAUCUUCUGAAUGUGUUUCGAUUGUAAGACGAGGCAGAUCUCGACUUUCACAAGAAUCGUUUCAGUGAAUUUUAAGCGAAACUAAUUAAGAGUAGAGGAGUGAACACUGAGUGUGUGAAUGAUAUUCUCUUCUUAUUUUAAUGUGUGAUCAGUUUUAUUAUAAACAGAGAUGUUUCCAUGAUGGUGAUGGUUUCAGAGCGAACAAACAAAUAAACUUCCGUGUCAGACAUCAAA
This is a long non-coding RNA of Cyprinus carpio carpio, 2359 nucleotides long. The record is from Ensembl. Lineage: Eukaryota; Metazoa; Chordata; Actinopteri; Cypriniformes; Cyprinidae.